This 121-nucleotide ribosomal RNA is filed under the name Acipenser transmontanus (white sturgeon). The record is from RNAcentral. Lineage: Eukaryota; Metazoa; Chordata; Actinopteri; Acipenseriformes; Acipenseridae.
GCCUGCGGCCACACCACCUUGAAUAAGCCUGAUCUCGUCUGAUCUCAGAAGCUAAGCAACGUUGGGAUUGGUUAGUACUUGGAUGGGAGACCACCUGGGAAUAUCAAGUGCUGUAGGCAUU